This 247-nucleotide ribosomal RNA is filed under the name uncultured bacterium. RNAcentral's name for it is "partial 16S ribosomal RNA". It matches the Rfam family "Bacterial small subunit ribosomal RNA", at positions 16 to 257 of the family's 1533-position model. The record is from RNAcentral.
GUCAUGGCUCAGAUUGAACGCUGGCGGCAGGCCUAACACAUGCAAGUCGAACGGUAACAGGAAGAAGCUUGCUUCUUUGCUGACGAGUGGCGGACGGGUGAGUAAUGUCUGGGAAACUGCCUGAUGGAGGGGGAUAACUACUGGAAACGGUAGCUAAUACCGCAUAACGUCGCAAGACCAAAGAGGGGGACCUUCGGGCCGUCUUGCCAUCGGAUGUGCCCACGAUGGGAUUAGCUAGUAGGUGGGG